RNAcentral lists this ribosomal RNA (156 nucleotides) under Ipomoea nil (Japanese morning glory). Its description in RNAcentral is "5.8S ribosomal RNA". It matches the Rfam family "5.8S ribosomal RNA". Rfam says of the family: 5.8S ribosomal RNA (5.8S rRNA) is a component of the large subunit of the eukaryotic ribosome. Lineage: Eukaryota; Viridiplantae; Streptophyta; Magnoliopsida; Solanales; Convolvulaceae. The record is from Rfam by way of RNAcentral.
CACUCUCGCAACGGAUAUCUCGGCUCUCGCAUCGAUGAAGAACGUAGCGAAAUGCGAUACUUGGUGAAUUGCAGAAUCCCGUGAACCAUCGAGUCUUUGAACGCAAGUUGCGGACGAAUGCGGUAGGCCGAGGCACGUCUGCCUGCGUCAGUGUGC